GUACUUGUUUCCCCUCUUUUCUAGUCUUUUCGUUCUCCGAAACCCUAAUCGGAAAACCCUACCCUUUUCUGCGCCGCCAUGGCCAAGAAGCGGAAGAGCCGAGCUUCAUACCAGCCCGAAAUCGAACCAGAACCAACCCCAAUUCAAGAGCCGGAGCAGCCCCAACCCGACCCUGAGCCCCAACUGGAAGCACCCAAUGAAGAACCAGAACAAGAGGUAGAAGAAGUAGAAGAAGAAGUGGAAGAGGAAGAGGAAGAGGAAGUCGAAGAAGCGGAUCCCGAAGAAGAGGGAGAGGAAGAGGAAGAGGAAGAGGAAGAGGGCGAAGAAGAGGAGAAGCCGGAAAGUAUGGAAGCAGAUGUUUCGAAAAGCGAUGCGGAGCUUGUGAAAGAAAACCCGUCAAACGAUGCCGUUUCAACUGGAAAAGCUAACGGCGAGGGGAAGAAGGCUGAGGGGAUUGAGGAAUUCGACGAUGAGCCACUCGAGAAGGUUCUGGAACCAUUCUCGAAGGACCAGCUUAAAGUCAUAAUUCAAGAGGCCGUGACCAAACACCCAGAUUUCAUGGAAAAUAUUAGGAAAUGGGCCGAUAAAGAUCCAGCACACCGGAAAAUUUUCGUGCACGGUCUUGGUUGGGAUACAACAACUGAAACCCUAACCAAUGUCUUUGGGAAAUAUGGGGAGAUUGAGGAUUGCAAGGCCGUUACCGAUAAGGUCUCAGGGAAAUCUAAAGGUUACGCCUUUAUACUUUUCAAGCACUGGAGUGGAGCCAGGAAGGCUUUGAAAGAGCCCCAGAAGAAGAUUGGGAGUCGGAUUACCUCAUGCCAGCUGGCUUCAGCUGGGCCUGUGCCGGCCCCUCCUCCAAUCGCCUCACCUGUUUCAGAGUAUACCCAGAGGAAGAUUUUUAUUAGCAAUGUUUCAGCAGACUUGGACCCCAAGAAGUUGUUUGAGUUCUUUUCCAAAUAUGGUGAGAUUGAGGAAGGACCUCUGGGAUUGGACAAGUAUACAGGGAAACCAAAAGGUUUCUGUUUGUUUGUGUACAGGUCUGUUGAGGGUGCAAAGAAGGCGCUGGAGGAGCCUCAUAAGAUUUUUGAGGGGCAUACACUGAAUUGCCAGAAGGCAAUUGAUGGGCCAAAGCAGCAUAAGAAUUAUUCACAGCAGCAACAACAGCAGCCACAUUAUCCCCAACAUCAGCAUCAGCAACAGCAGUAUUAUCAGCACACAGCUAAGAAGGGGAAAUAUUCUUCUGGUGGUGGAAGUGGAGCUACUUCAGCAGGACAUUUGAUGGCUCCAGCUGCAGGGCCUGGAGCUGUUGGGUUCAAUCCAGCUGUGGCCCCUGUUCUUGGACAGGCACUCACUGCAUUGCUUACAACACAAGGAGCUGGACUAGGGAUUGGUAAUCUACUUGGAGGACUUCCUGUGAAUCCUCAUGGGGUUCCACCUGUGGUGAACAAUGCACCGGGAUAUGGGGCUCAGAGUGCUGCAGGAGGCUAUGCAGGUCAUCCAGGAAUGCAGGGAGGAUAUCAGAACCCAGCUAUGGGGCAGGGAGGAGUGAGGCCGCAAGGUGGUGCCCAUUGGCGUGGUCAUUAGGCCUGGCAGAAGUUUUUUCCAACUGACCAUGCUGCCAUGGAAUGCCCUACUAAGCUGAUAUUGCAGUGUUCAUGAAGUGGAGGAAUCUGAGCGACAAGUAGACACCAUGGCGGACAUGUAAGCUCAUGAGUUUUGCACCCAGUGAGUGGCUAACUUUUCUUCCUGGCAUUGCAAUGUCGUGCCAUCUGUCAAAUGGAAUCUCACAUUUGCAUGACUGACAGCAGAUAUAUCUUCUUUGGUCGAUUAAAUUACAGCCUAGUGCCUGUUCACAUGUAUUAUCGUAACUGGUUGAGUUUUAGUGAAUUGGCCUUUUUUUGUUCUGUUUAAAGUUUGGAAACUGUGUUUGGCACAUUCUCCUCUCAUGAUGGUUCUUUGGGGAUUGUCUUAAACUUGUUUUGUUUUGCAUUGGUUCAAGACUUGAACCCUGCCUUAAUCUGAUCCAGGACUUCCUACUGGUUUUUGUUAA
Molecule: RNA transcript, 2050 nt
Organism: Ipomoea nil (Japanese morning glory)
Lineage: Eukaryota; Viridiplantae; Streptophyta; Magnoliopsida; Solanales; Convolvulaceae
Gene name: UBP1-associated protein 2A-like
Exons: 4
Source: RefSeq, a predicted model, not a curated record